Otolemur garnettii (small-eared galago) is the source of this 92-nucleotide long non-coding RNA. RefSeq lists it as uncharacterized. The transcript is spliced from 3 exons. Lineage: Eukaryota; Metazoa; Chordata; Mammalia; Primates; Galagidae. The record is from RefSeq and is a predicted model, not a curated record.
UGUAAAUCUCAUGGGGAAUGGGGCUGUAUCCAUAUCAGCAACAGGUCUCCAGGGUGAACAGCCUCUGGCAGGUUGGAGCAAUGUAUGUACUU